This 256-nucleotide ribosomal RNA is filed under the name uncultured bacterium. RNAcentral describes it as "partial 16S ribosomal RNA". It matches the Rfam family "Bacterial small subunit ribosomal RNA", at positions 521 to 776 of the family's 1533-position model. The record is from RNAcentral.
UAAUACAGAGGGUGCGAGCGUUAAUCGGAAUUAUUGGGCGUAAAGGGCGCGUAGGUGGCCCUAUAAGUUAAGUGUGAAAUCCCAUGGCUUAACCAUGGAAUUGCACUUGAUACUGUAGGGCUAGAGUAUGGUAGAGGGAAGUGGAAUUUCCGGAGUAGCGGUGAAAUGCGUAGAUACCGGAAGGAACACCAGUGGCGAAGGCGGCUUCCUGGACCAAUACUGACACUGAGGCGCGAUAGCGUGGGGAGCAAACAGG